GACGAACGCUGGCGGCGUGCUUAACACAUGCAAGUCGAACGGAAAGGCCCUGCUUUUGUGGGGUGCUCGAGUGGCGAACGGGUGAGUAACACGUGAGUAACCUGCCCUUGACUUUGGGAUAACUUCAGGAAACUGGGGCUAAUACCGGAUAGGAGCUCCUGCUGCAUGGUGGGGGUUGGAAAGUUUCGGCGGUUGGGGAUGGACUCGCGGCUUAUCAGCUUGUUGGUGGGGUAGUGGCUUACCAAGGCUUUGACGGGUAGCCGGCCUGAGAGGGUGACCGGCCAAAUUGGGGAUUGAAUUAGGCCCAACGCCCUUCGGGGGGGAAGAGGGGGGGAAUUUGGACAAAGGGGCGGAACCCGGAUCAGCAAACCCCGGGGGGGGAAGGAGGGCUUUGGGGUUGAAACCCCUUUCCCCUGGGAAGGAGGGGGGGUGGAGGGAAUUGGUAAAAAAAGCCCGGCUAAAUACGGG
Molecule: ribosomal RNA, 468 nt
Filed under: uncultured bacterium
Lineage: Bacteria
Description: partial 16S ribosomal RNA
Rfam family: Bacterial small subunit ribosomal RNA
Source: RNAcentral